GCAUAAUCAAUUGCCUUUUAAUUAAAGGCUAGUAUGAAUGGACACACAAGAAUAAAGCUGUCUCAUCUAGAACUUCCAUAAUCUGUACGACAGGUGAAAAUUCCUGUAUCAUAAUAAAAGACAAGAAGACCCUAUAGAGCUUCAUCUAUAAAAGCUAAACACUUAACUAUAGAAUUAGUUGGGACAACUAAAAAACAUUUACACCUUUUUAUUUCACUACAUAAACCCAUUAAUGUAAAAGAACAUA
This 247-nucleotide ribosomal RNA is filed under the name Nereididae environmental sample. RNAcentral describes it as "partial 16S ribosomal RNA". Lineage: Eukaryota; Metazoa; Annelida; Polychaeta; Phyllodocida; Nereididae. The record is from RNAcentral.